AUUAUCUUUUCAAACUUCUUCCAUGGGUGACCAAGUAUGUACAUAGUGGAGUUAAAAUCAUUGUACAUUUGUCAAAAUUGCCAAUAUUAUGAAAAAUAACCCAAUACAAUGAAAAACAAUCAAGGAUUGCAACUUGUGAAUACAAAUCAGAGACUUUACCAUGUUUUGAAUUACAGCAUCUUCCAAUUUCAUUACAUCAAUAGCAUCGUCUAAUAUCUCAAAUUAGUUGAACAAUGAACAUCCCAACCUUUUUCUUAGCCCCAAAUUUCAAAGCCAAAAUAGAAAGCACAAUAAAACAUAAGAGUUUAAUAAAUAAUAUACAUUGUCACCUUAAAUAAAUACCCAAUUCCGUUGCUGUAUUUUAACCAAUUUAAGAUUGAAAAUGGACUGCUGUUAGCAAAAUUGGAUAAAAUUGACCAAAGAAUCUCAACUCAAGAUAAAUUCAUGAGAAAAUGGUACCUCUUUCGGUACACAAGUUAUUGUUUCUUUUGUUAAGUAAAAUGAUAAUGUGGAGCGAAGGAGAAUAUCUUUAUUUUAAUCAAAAUAGGUAAACAAAAAGACAAGUCAAUCACACUGUUUCCUUCUUUGAAUAGCUUAAUAGGAAACAAUCUCAAGAUAUUAUGAAUAGAUAUUUCUUUUUGUACUGCUAAAGUAUUUUAGUAUGUAUUUUGUUUUACCAGUAAAAAGCUCAACAAUUGAUGCUAUUAAAAUUACUGCACUCAUAAAUUGUAACUUUAAACUUUAACUAUAUAAUAAUGAGUAUUAGUUUAAGUAAAUCAAAGAUGAAACAGAGGGAGUAAGUACCAUGACUUCUUAAGACCCUUUUUGUCAUUAGCCUUGCCUCUAAUAGUUUGGGGGUUUUUGGCCAUUCUGCUAGCCAAUUCAUUCUCAUGAUCAGAAAAGUAUAAUUGUAAGUUGUUGGGUUUUUCGUUGGAAGCGACUAAAUCAUCUAUGAAAUGAUACAUGAGUCCCUGUUCUCUAAAUCUGUACAUACCACAAUUUCUUUUCACCAAUUUUUUUAUCGUACUUCACACCAAGCGAUGUGUUCAACAUAUUAUUGUAUGUUCUAAUAUAUGUUCGAAAUGUUUAGAUUCUUCUUUUGUAUUCAAAUUUUUGUGUGCCACAAUAUGAACAGUUAGGAACCUUUUUUUAGAAUCAUAUUACUCGCUUCGCUGUUCAGUAAUAGGUGAAGUAGAUAUUAUUGGAGUAUCAAUUUAGCACAAACCUUUUGAUUGGAACUGUAUUUAAGGCCGCAUAAUGCUGAGUAGACACAUCCAACAUGCACCCUUAUGUGCAAACAAUCACAAUUUACAAUAAAGUGAUGAUCAAUAUGCCAUACUAAAAAAAUAUAAGGCAAAGAGCUGGAUUACCUGUUUCAAAGAUAGUGAAUAGGCUGCAUACUUGCUUUCCUUUAUCUAAAUUGCGCAGGAAUUGAGUCUGACAUCGUGGCUGGCAACUAGUAAUCAAAAUACAUAUAACAUGUUUAAAGGAUGAAGUUAAAAUGUAAGUAGGUAAAGUUAGAUAAGUUAGGUGUUAUACACGUUAUUAGAGAAAAUAGAUUGGCAAUGUAAAUUAGUAAUAAUGCAAAAUAUACAAUAAUGCGACGAUAAAUAGGCCAUACGAAAACAUAAUGGAAAGAGCGGGCUUACUUUUUGAGAAAUGGGCGAAGGAUUGUAUACUUUUUCCUUGUUUAACUUGUCUUGGGUUGAGUUGGUCGAACUUGGUGACUUGCAGCUGGCAAACAAAAUACAAAAGAUGUUUAAAGGCAGACUCGGUUUGUACACAUUGGCAGAGGGAACACAUUGGCAACAUUAAGUUAAUAAAAGAGGAAACCUUUCUCAGAGAGCUCCGAAGGUUCUCAGAUGAUAAGUGCAGCCUGUUUGAAAGG
RNAcentral lists this long non-coding RNA (1888 nucleotides) under Solanum tuberosum (potato). Its description in RNAcentral is "long non-coding RNA (STUB_LNC004767)". Lineage: Eukaryota; Viridiplantae; Streptophyta; Magnoliopsida; Solanales; Solanaceae. The record is from RNAcentral.